This 572-nucleotide ribosomal RNA is filed under the name Staphylococcus aureus MUM270. RNAcentral describes it as "bacterial LSU rRNA". It matches the Rfam family "Bacterial large subunit ribosomal RNA", at positions 570 to 1143 of the family's 2925-position model. The record is from RNAcentral. Lineage: Bacteria; Bacillati; Bacillota; Bacilli; Caryophanales; Staphylococcaceae.
GUAGUCAGAGCCCGUUAAUGGGUGAUGGCGUGCCUUUUGUAGAAUGAACCGGCGAGUUACGAUUUGAUGCAAGGUUAAGCAGUAAAUGUGGAGCCAGUAGCGAAAGCGAGUCUGAAUAGGGCGUUUAGUAUUUGGUCGUAGACCCGAAACCAGGUGAUCUACCCUUGGUCAGGUUGAAGUUCAGGUAACACUGAAUGGAGGACCGAACCGACUUACGUUGAAAAGUGAGCGGAUGAACUGAGGGUAGCGGAGAAAUUCCAAUCGAACCUGGAGAUAGCUGGUUCUCUCCGAAAUAGCUUUAGGGCUAGCCUCAAGUGAUGAUUAUUGGAGGUAGAGCACUGUUUGGACGAGGGGCCCCUCUCGGGUUACCGAAUUCAGACAAACUCCGAAUGCCAAUUAAUUUAACUUGGGAGUCAGAACAUGGGUGAUAAGGUCCGUGUUCGAAAGGGAAACAGCCCAGACCACCAGCUAAGGUCCCAAAAUAUAUGUUAAGUGGAAAAGGAUGUGGCGUUGCCCAGACAACUAGGAUGUUGGCUUAGAAGCAGCCAUCAUUUAAAGAGUGCGUAAUARCU